UGGGGAAUUUGGACAAUGGGCGAAAGCCUGAUCCAGCAAUGCCGCGUGUGUGAAGAAGGCCUUCGGGUUGUAAAGCACUUUUGUCCGGAAAGAAAUCCUUGGCUCUAAUACAGUCGGGGGAUGACGGUACCGGAAGAAUAAGCACCGGCUAACUACGUGCCAGCAGCCGCGGUAAUACGUAGGGUGCAAGCGUUAAUCGGAAUUACUGGGCGUAAAGCGUGCGCAGGCGGUUUGCUAAGACCGAUGUGAAAUCCCCGGGCUCAACCUGGGAACUGCAUUGGUGACUGGCAGGCUAGAGUAUGGCAGAGGGGGGUAGAAUUCCACGUGUAGCAGUGAAAUGCGUAGAGAUGUGGAGGAAUACCGAUGGCGAAGGCAGCCCCCUGGGCCAAUACUGACGCUCAUGCACGAAAGCGUGGGGAGCAAACAGGAUUAGAUACCCUGGUAGUCCACGCCCUAAACGAUGUCAACUAGUUGUUGGGGAUUCAUUUCCUUAGUAACGUAGCUAACGCGUGAAGUUGACCGCCUGGGGAGUACGGUCGCAAGAUUAAAACUCAAAUGAAUUGACGGGGUCAUAGCUG
RNAcentral lists this ribosomal RNA (578 nucleotides) under uncultured bacterium. Its description in RNAcentral is "partial 16S ribosomal RNA". It matches the Rfam family "Bacterial small subunit ribosomal RNA", at positions 356 to 932 of the family's 1533-position model. The record is from RNAcentral.